RNAcentral lists this ribosomal RNA (460 nucleotides) under uncultured bacterium. RNAcentral's name for it is "partial 16S ribosomal RNA". It matches the Rfam family "Bacterial small subunit ribosomal RNA", at positions 338 to 795 of the family's 1533-position model. The record is from RNAcentral.
CCUACGGGGGGCAGCAGUGAGGAAUAUUGGUCAAUGGACGAGAGUCUGAACCAGCCAAGUAGCGUGAAGGAUGACUGCCCUAUGGGUUGUAAACUUCUUUUAUAUGGGAAUAAAACGUUCCACGUGUGGGAUUUUGUAUGUACCAUAUGAAUAAGGAUCGGCUAACUCCGUGCCAGCAGCCGCGGUAAUACGGAGGAUACGAGCGUUAUCCGGAUUUAUUGGGUUUAAAGGGCGCGUAGGUGGAUUGUUAAGUCAGUUGUGAAAGUUUGCGGCUCAACCGUAAAAUUGCAGUUGAAACUGGCAGUCUUGAGUACAGUAGAGGUGUGCGGAAUGCGUGGUGUAGCGGUGAAAUGCUUAGAUAUCACGAAGAACUCCGAUUGCGAAGGCAGUUCACUGGACUGCAACUGACACUGAGGCUCGAAAGUGUGGGUAUCAAACAGGAGUAGAUACCCUGGUAGUC